AAGUCGUAACAAGGUUUCCGUAGGUGAACCUGCGGAAGGAUCAUUACCGAGUUAGGGUCUUCUGGCCCAACCUCCAACCCUGUGCGAAUGACGCAUGUUGCUUCGGUGGGCCUUUGUGCCUGCCGGAGACCUGUAAAAAUCAUUUCAGUUUGUGUCUGAGCAAAUAAUAAAAUUGUUAAAACUUUCAACAACGGAUCUCUUGGUUCCC
RNAcentral lists this unclassified non-coding RNA (208 nucleotides) under Sabuloglossum sp. RNAcentral describes it as "partial contains small subunit ribosomal RNA, internal transcribed spacer 1, and 5.8S ribosomal RNA". The stretch from base 1 to 46 matches the Rfam family "Eukaryotic small subunit ribosomal RNA", at positions 1786 to 1831 of the family's 1831-position model. The record is from RNAcentral. Lineage: Eukaryota; Fungi; Ascomycota; Geoglossomycetes; Geoglossales; Geoglossaceae.